RNAcentral lists this ribosomal RNA (429 nucleotides) under Bacteroidota bacterium. RNAcentral describes it as "Bacteroidetes bacterium partial 16S ribosomal RNA". It matches the Rfam family "Bacterial small subunit ribosomal RNA", at positions 355 to 776 of the family's 1533-position model. The record is from RNAcentral. Lineage: Bacteria; Pseudomonadati; Bacteroidota.
UAGGGAAUCUUCCGCAAUGGACGCAAGUCUGACGGAGCAACGCCGCGUGAGUGAAGAAGGAUUUCGGUUCGUAAAACUCUGUUGUUAGAGAAGAACAGCGCAUAGAGUAACUGUUAUGCGUGUGACGGUAUCUAACCAGAAAGCCACGGCUAACUACGUGCCAGCAGCCGCGGUAAUACGUAGGUGGCAAGCGUUGUCCGGAUUUAUUGGGCGUAAAGCGAGCGCAGGCGGUCAAUUAAGUCUGAUGUGAAAGCCCCCGGCUCAACCGGGGAGGGUCAUUGGAAACUGGUUGACUUGAGUGCAGAAGAGGAGGGUGGAAUUCCAUGUGUAGCGGUGAAAUGCGUAGAUAUAUGGAGGAACACCAGUGGCGAAGGCGACUCUCUGGUCUGUAACUGACGCGGAGGCUCGAAAGCGUGGGUAGCAAACAGG